GCCGCCAAGGCAGCGACGGAGGGGGCUGUCCCUGGCCAGCUGGUCAAUUUGUUCCCAUCUCAACCUUUGCUGCCCCAGUUUCACAGAACUCCCUUCUCUAGUUUAUUCUUCUCCUGGGAGGUGACAUUUUAGGUUAUUGGGUCACAGAUUGCUGGCACACUCAUCCCUGUUCUCAAACAUCUUUUAAACAUGGGUGAAGUGAUAAGUAGGGGAAGAUGAUUUACUGAAAGCAAUGCAGAGUCUCCCGAGAAGAGAUUCAGACUGAACAGCUUUGUGUCAGACCUUGGAAGACUGCUG
This is a non-coding RNA of Vicugna pacos (alpaca), 297 nucleotides long. NCBI's taxonomy places the organism in Eukaryota, Metazoa, Chordata, Mammalia, Artiodactyla, Camelidae. The record is from RefSeq and is a predicted model, not a curated record.